Long non-coding RNA from Trifolium pratense (red clover), 525 nucleotides. RefSeq lists it as uncharacterized. The transcript is spliced from 2 exons. The record is from RefSeq and is a predicted model, not a curated record. NCBI's taxonomy places the organism in Eukaryota, Viridiplantae, Streptophyta, Magnoliopsida, Fabales, Fabaceae.
CCAAAUACAGAAGCUCCACACUUCCUGAACACAUCCAAAUGUUGAUUUGCACUCGAAAUUGGUUGCACGGCUUUACUGAAUAUAUAAAUGAUGAUGAUGAAAGUAAUAUUGUGGACGACUGCAACACUGCGGCGACAAUGACUCAACAUGGAUGAAUGCAACGCUAGGGGCGACUGCAACACUGCGGCGAUAAUGACUCAAAGAAUUUUAUUUUAUAUCUACUAGUAUACUUUUUUCCUACUAUGUGACUGUGUUCUUAUGUGUAAAUCUCCCGCUUAUAUUUGGACGAGUGUAUGAGGAUUUUGAUAAUUUGAUGUGUUAGAUGAAAAAAAACUUAAGUGAGUUCUAGGAAUUUUUUUCCGAAAAUUCUCGUUUCCGAGAAUUCUUAAAAUUUUCGUUUCCGAUGCUUCGACUCAUCUGAUGGGGUAAUCCAGCAGAAACUAAAGUGAUCAUUUUGUUUUAACAAAAUGUAAUUAUUUGAUUGAGCAAAGUUUAUAACACCAGAUAUUGGUACACAAAUCUUAA